This 206-nucleotide ribosomal RNA is filed under the name uncultured bacterium. RNAcentral's name for it is "partial 16S ribosomal RNA". It matches the Rfam family "Bacterial small subunit ribosomal RNA", at positions 568 to 774 of the family's 1533-position model. The record is from RNAcentral.
CGCGUAGGCGGUUUGUAAGUCGGAUGUGAAAGCCCCGGGCUCAACCUGGGAAUUGCAUUCGAUACUGCUUGACUAGAGUAUGGUAGAGGGAAGUGGAAUUCCAGGUGUAGCGGUGAAAUGCGUAGAUAUCUGGAGGAACAUCAGUGGCGAAGGCGACUUCCUGGACCAAUACUGACGCUGAGGUGCGAAAGCGUGGGGAGCAAACA